This is a long non-coding RNA of Pristis pectinata (smalltooth sawfish), 2828 nucleotides long. RefSeq lists it as uncharacterized. The transcript has 7 exons. The record is from RefSeq and is a predicted model, not a curated record. Lineage: Eukaryota; Metazoa; Chordata; Chondrichthyes; Rhinopristiformes; Pristidae.
GCGUGCACGCGCAGCGGCGUGAAGACUUCUUUCGGUUUGCUGCCUCAUCGUGGGAUUAUAUGAAAAUUUUAAAUGUUUUUUUUAACCGAGUCUUCAACCAAGACCGAAAGGCGGUCGUCAACCUGGCUGGGGCUGUUUUAUGUUUGGGACUUUCGCCUGAUUGAGGAGGAGGAGGAGGGUCGUUGCCAGAAAAACGCAUAUGAUUGUUAUUUUUAUUAUUGACCCAUUUAUCUCUUUUGGAGUCGCUUGCUGGGCAAAUCUUAUUUUGCCUAAGUUAACUCUGUGGAGUGUUCGUUGAGAUUUGAGACAUUAAAGGACAGAGGUGAGCCUUUUCUUGGCCUUUAGUCAUGUGCAAUAAAUACAGAAUGUGGUUUCUGGGUUAGAAUUCUCGUCUACGCGUGUGGUCACUGACUGACCCACAGGUUUGAAACGGAUGUGUGAAAAGAAAAGUCGUGGUACUAAAGUUCUUGAUCUAACUUGUUGGGUGAAGCAUAAACAGAGGGUAAGCAUAUACCCUUACCCUGGCCCACGUCCAAAUCCUCAGGACAAGGAAGGCUCACAAUGUGUGUUUCACCUUUUAAACAACCUCGGGCAAGUAAGAUCUAGGUCUACUACAGAACUUAAGGAAAUUUUAUAUUACUUUUCCGUGCAAGCUUUUGUUGUGCGGAGUGGAAUGCACAAAUUCCAAGUGUCAGUCACUUGUCUUAUUGAAGGAGAACAAAAGUGCUGGAGCUAUUCACCGGGCCGGACAAUAUCUGUGGAGAAAGUGAUUGAUGAGAAGGCCUUUGGUGUCAGAUCAAUCACGCACAAUUGAGUUUCAUCACCACACCAACUGCCUUGGAGGCGGCUACACUGAGGAUGAGGUGUUCAUCCAUUUCCAUUGGGAAUGUAAUUUCACUAAGAAGGUCUGAAAAAGGGUGCUUUUGUGCUUUCAUGGAGUUUCAUGUUGGAACGUCAAGAGAACACAGGACACUAUGCUAAAGGCUGCUCCCAACCACGCACAGAGAAAAUAUCAAUUGCUGCUGGGAUAUUAUCAACUUGGUGAAAGAUACUCUUUGGUCAGUCUGAAACCUGCUGGUCUUGGAGUGCGAGGAUCGGUCCACUGCCAAAUGUUGCAGACUGAUACAUUCCAAGGUCUAGGAUUCUCUACUGAGAGAUGCAGUGAAGCAUGCUGCAUCUACUGCAAGGACUUCAUGGGAAAAGGCCAAAGUUUAAGACAGUCCUGCAGUUGCACACAGAGGGGCUGGAACUUGGACUUUCACCCAUGGAAUCUUAUUUCAGAAGGCAGCCAUAUAUAGAAAAGAGUGGUGAAAGGGAACAGAUUUUCUCUCACGAAGAAUCUUUGACAGCCAGUUCAACCUCAGGGUAUGGCUUAACUGGAUGGUGAAGGAUUUCUGAGUCUGGCUUGUUCCGGCCCUGCCACAGGACGAGAUUUUCAUUCUGCACUACUCAGAGCCUCAGCAAGCAAUUCAGAGUUGCCUUAACUACGAAUAUUUACACCGGGGCACCCAUUUGAGGGAAAAGCAGACAGGUGAAUGGUGACUACAGGCAACAAGCCCCUCUGAGGAAAUUUUAGGUCAAUAAAAACAAAAGAUAUGCCAUCUGAAUGUCUACCAGUUCUUCAGUAACUUCAGGGAAGUAAUUGUAGAAGUCGAUGUUGUACAUGGAGUUAUGAGCAGAGAGGAAAGCAGGGAAUCGUGCUUGAAUAGAUUGCAAAUCGAAGAUGGCAAAACCAAGUCAGAAGAAAUAUUGUUCCAUCAUCAACAUCUGCACUGUCAACGAGAUAACCACUUAUUCUGUGGAUUAGAGGCCAAGUCUCCACAAUGUCUUCCUUGGGUUAAUCCUAGAAAUCAACCUUGCUAACUUACAGUGAACUUUGUCUCAGUCCACUUUGACAUCUGCAACUGAGUCAGCUUGGUAAACCAAAGGAUGACAACAGGCUACAUGCUGAAGACAUGGCCUAAGACUGUAAGAAACAACCAUAAGGACACCAAAGAGCAGUCUGGAUCUGCAUAGGAGUGUGCUGAAUGUGCAUGGAACCAUCUAAGUUUAAUGACAGAAAGUCAAUGUUGCACGAUAAAGACUAAGAUAAGAUAUUUUUAUUAGUCACAUGAACAUCGAAACACACAGUGAAAUACAUCUUUUGCAAAGAAUGUUCUGGGGGCAGCCCACAAGUGUCACCACGCUUCUGGUGCCAACAUAGCAUGUCCACAACUUCCUAACCCAUACAUCUUUGGAAUGUGGGAGAAAACUGGAGCACCCAAAGGAAACCCACACAGACACAGGGAGAACGUACAAACUCCUUAUAGACAGUGGCUGGAAUUGAACUUGAACAUCCACUGCAGCACUCGGAUGUUGGAUAGCUUUUACGACAUCAUUCUUCAGACUCUGCAUAGCGACUGGCUUUGUGAGUGUGUUAAUGCUUUUGAUCGCUAAUUCUGUGCUGGAAAGGAUGGGCUUCAAGCUCUUCACAAACCCUGUGCAAAACAGCUGCUGGUGUUCCAACUCCUUGACAUUCAACUUAGGCUUUAUGGGGGACCUGCUUUUGCACCAAAGAUUUUGUUGUAUGUGCCCAUCAGCCACCUUUUGUAACCUGCUCAUCUGAAUCUUCUAGAACAGAAUCCUUGUGCAAGCUCACUUUCGAGGAAGCUGCCACACGUUACCUUCUCUCCCUCUCCCCUGAGAGCCACUUGUGUCCAGUGUCGUGCCACAUGCAGGUUCCACUUCAAGUAACCAGUAGCUGCAAGUGUGAAACUGAGUUUCUUCAUAAUCUGUCUUUUUGCUCCUCCAACUGUUGUUCUUGCAGCACUGUUUGGAUAUCUGAAAGG